This 734-nucleotide ribosomal RNA is filed under the name uncultured bacterium. Its description in RNAcentral is "bacterial SSU rRNA". It matches the Rfam family "Bacterial small subunit ribosomal RNA", at positions 1 to 728 of the family's 1533-position model. The record is from RNAcentral.
CUCCCUUAGGAGUUGAUCAUGGCUCGAACGAACGCUGGCGGCGCGCUUAACACAUGCAAGUCGAACGAGAAGGCGUAGCAAUACGCUUGUAAAGUGGCGAACGGGUGAGGAAUACAUGGGUAACCUACCCUCGAGUGGGGGAUAACCCGCCGAAAGGCGGGCUAAUACCGCGUACGCUUCCGAUCUCGCGGGAUCGGAAGGAAAGCUGUCCCAAGGGGAUGGCGCUCAAGGAUGGGCUCAUGUCCUAUCAGCUUGUUGGUAGGGUAAUGGCCUACCAAGGCAUCGACGGGUAGCUGGUCUGAGAGGACGGUCAGCCACACUGGCACUGCGACACGGGCCAGACUCCUACGGGAGGCAGCAGUGAGGAAUAUUGCGCAAUGGGCGAAAGCCUGACGCAGCGACGCCGCGUGGGGGAUGAAGGUCUUCGGAUUGUAAACCCCUUUCGGGAGGGAAGACGGCCUUAGACAACUAAGGCGGACGGUACCUCCAGAAGCAGCCACGGCUAACUUCGUGCCAGCAGCCGCGGUAAUACGAAGGUGGCAAGCGUUGUUCGGAUUUACUGGGCGUAAAGGGAGCGUAGGUGGUUAGGUAAGCCCUCCGGGAAAUCUUCAGGCUCAACCUGAAAAGGUCGGGGGGGACUGCCUAGCUAGAGGGCGGGAGAGGAGCGCGGAAUUCCCGGUGUAGCGGUGAAAUGCGUAGAGAUCGGGAAGAAGGCCGGUGGCGAAGGCGGCGCU